This 693-nucleotide long non-coding RNA is filed under the name Phoenix dactylifera (date palm). RNAcentral's name for it is "long non-coding RNA (PDAC_LNC014166)". Lineage: Eukaryota; Viridiplantae; Streptophyta; Magnoliopsida; Arecales; Arecaceae. The record is from RNAcentral.
AACAGUGGCAACCGCUGACUGGCACAGAAUUUCCUGCAAAAAGACAUCAUCAUUACCAUUCCAUUACUUCUGCCAACUCAGAUUCGGAGUUUACGAGAUGAAAGAAGGUGAUGUACCCGUAGCUUAUGAUACGGCUGAGGGUUAUGUGAUGAUCAUGGGGACUAGAGAUGAGGACGUUGCAGGCUUCCCAUUGCAAGCUCCACAUAGUAAGUUGUUUAUGAACCAGGAAUCUCGAUGUUAAUGUCUUGCCCCACUCCGUGCAUGGAAAGCAUGGAAGGGCCGAAAGUGGAUUCGGACAUUGUAUCGGGCCAUAAGCUAGGCUCGACGAAGAAUAAGGCAUGAAGGAAUUUGGAUCUGAUCUCGGAUCAAUGCGUUGUCUGCCCUGGGCCUGUCCCUAAGCCCGCGCGCAGAUUGGACUCAAAAAGUAAGCACCAAAUCAGGUUCGAUGCCCACCGAGAACCAAAUCCAAACCUGGUUCGAGGCUCAUCCCAACCCUAUAUUCAAUGGAGCUUCGACUCCUGGGAUCCUUUCAAACUUUGAGGGCUUCCCCUUCAACACCACCCUCUCCUCAUUUCUCUGCCCUUCUUUCCCCAACGAGAUCUCUCCCUUCGUUAGCACCCACAUUGACAAGGAGGCUGUGCCGGGUCAUGCCUCUAUCUGCGCUCGGUCUGAAAGUUUUUUUCAGACUUUGGG